Molecule: non-coding RNA, 26 nt
Filed under: Rattus norvegicus (Norway rat)
Lineage: Eukaryota; Metazoa; Chordata; Mammalia; Rodentia; Muridae
Source: RNAcentral
CGAGGUCCAAUUCUGUAACAGAUGCU